ACACAUGCAGUCGAGCGGAUGACAGGAGCUUGCUCCUGAAUUCAGCGGCGGACGGGUGAGUAAUGCCUAGGAAUCUGCCUGGUAGUGGGGGACAACGUUUCGAAAGGAACGCUAAUACCGCAUACGUCCUACGGGAGAAAGCAGGGGACCUUCGGGCCUUGCGCUAUCAGAUGAGCCUAGGCCGGAUUAGCUAGUUGGUGAGGUAAUGGCUCACCAAGGCGACGAUCCGUAACUGGUCUGAGAGGAUGAUCAGUCACACUGGAACUGAGACACGGUCCAGACUCCUACGGGAGGCAGCAGUGGGGAAUAUUGGACAAUGGGCGAAAGCCUGAUCCAGCCAUGCCGCGUGUGUGAAGAAGGUCUUCGGAUUGUAAAGCACUUUAAGUUGGGAGGAAGGGCAUUAACCUAAUACGUUAGUGUUUUGACGUUACCGACAGAAUAAGCACCGGCUAACUCUGUGCCAGCAGCCGCGGUAAUACAGAGGGUGCAAGCGUUAAUCGGAAUUACUGGGCGUAAAGCGCGCGUAGGUGGUUUGUUAAGUUGGAUGUGAAAUCCCCGGACUCAACCUGGGAACUGCAUUCAAAACUGACAAGCUAGAGUAUGGUAGAGGGUGGUGGAAUUUCCUGUGUAGCGGUGAAAUGCGUAGAUAUAGGAAGGAACACCAGUGGCGAA
RNAcentral lists this ribosomal RNA (672 nucleotides) under uncultured bacterium. RNAcentral describes it as "bacterial SSU rRNA". It matches the Rfam family "Bacterial small subunit ribosomal RNA", at positions 51 to 719 of the family's 1533-position model. The record is from RNAcentral.